RNAcentral lists this long non-coding RNA (1022 nucleotides) under Apteryx owenii (little spotted kiwi). RNAcentral's name for it is "lncRNA (ENSAOWG00000011464.1)". The record is from RNAcentral. Lineage: Eukaryota; Metazoa; Chordata; Aves; Apterygiformes; Apterygidae.
GUUUUCUAACAUGCUGGCAGAAAUACAGAAAAUGACAGAAUUUAAAGGUGGAGAUGGAGGCAAGAAGUUAACUGCUUAACAAGAUACUACUUGACAUUCUGAUAUGACCACCUUGGUUGAGAAGCAGUGCCGAGACUCUUAUUUGUUGUGGUUUCCAUGGAUAAAUUCAGAAGGAUGUUUGAUUAGUUUAACUCCAGAAAUUGCGUUAGUGCCGCAGAGAAAGCACUAAUGAGCAGAGAGUGGAAGAGACAUCCUUAGAGUGCAAUAGAGAGCAAAUUUGGAACCAGGCAGAAUACUUCACAGCAGCUGGAGGGCUUGGAGGGAGCAGUGGAUUGUAUGUGAAAGAACAAGACUUGCAGAGAUGAAGAUACCAAAGGAAAGUAUGAAGUGCUUCAUGCCAGGAGGCCAGUACAAAGGAACUUUGCCUGCUGCAUUUUCCCCUGCAGAUUCUGUAACUUGCAGAAUCUUUGAAAUCUGCUGUAGUUCCACUAGUGUGAAGAUGGGAUGGCCUUAGUAUUCUGAUUUCCAAGCCCAUCCACCACCUGCCCCUUCCCUCCUUUGCUUCCCUCUUGGAACCCCCGAGCAAAGUCCUUUGCUCCUCCUGCAGUGACGGCCACCUCCCCAGCUGGCCUCGGGUCUUCUCCCGUUGCCUGUUGGUGAGAGAAGGACCCUGAAGCGGAUGGCAACGUGGAGCAACAGGAAGAUGCGGGAACRGCUGCCACCCUUGCUCGUCCUAAGGAGCUGCGGGGAACGAAGGGGCAGCAGAAGGGCGAAGGCCUCUCACCCAUCGCUAUUGCUGAAACCAAAGACGUGCAGCUGCCUCCCUUCCUCUUCCAAAGGGAAAUAAUUCCCCCUUCCUUCCUCCUGCCGCCAGGCUCCAGUUUCCAAGGAGACAGCGGUUCAUGCCUGGAGCACGCAGCAGGCAGCUUCAGGCGAUACUGGCGUUUUCCUCGCUGGCAGUCCUUACUGAGCGUGCCGUGCGUGCCGAGCCCUGCAGGAGGAAGGUGCCCCGUGGAGAAGCC